This 624-nucleotide ribosomal RNA is filed under the name Triticum aestivum (bread wheat). Its description in RNAcentral is "partial small subunit ribosomal RNA". Lineage: Eukaryota; Viridiplantae; Streptophyta; Magnoliopsida; Poales; Poaceae. The record is from RNAcentral.
AUGUUUAGUAGACAUCAGAAUGCAUUUAUUAAACACAGAAAUAUCAUGGAUGGGGUAUUGUCUUUACAUGAGAUUUUUCAUCACACUUCCAUCAAAAAACGAGUGGGCAUUGUUAUUAAACUCGAUUUCGAGAAAGCAUAUGACAAGGUGAAUUGGGACUUUCUGUUGGAAUGUCUCGAGAUGAGAGGGUUCGGUACCACUUGGUGUAAGUGGAUUAAAAGCGUCUUGACUGAUGGUACUGUCAGUGUUAAGUUGAACAAUACCAUGGGGCCUUAUUUCAAAAGCUUUAAGGGGGUCAGACAAGGAGACCCUAUGUCACCGUUCCUUUUCAACAUAGCAGUCGAGUGCCUAUCUAAGAUGGUGCUGCAGACUCAGAAAAAUAACCUAAUUGCUGGGCUUGCACCGGAUCUUAUUGAAAAUGGAGUGGCCAUUCUGCAGUAUGCAGAUGAUACAGUCUUGUGCAUAGAUCAUGACCUAGAUAAGGCUGUGAAUAUGAAAUUGUUACUGUGCAUCUUCGAGCUCAUGUCCGGGCUCAAGAUCAAUUUCCAAAAAAGUGAGAUCCUGUGUGUAGGGGGGAUGAUGAUAUCCUUAAAACAUAUGCUGAUAUUUUUGAUUGCCAAAUAG